CCGUCGCGACGCACCGCGCGCGCAACAACUUUCCGUUGCGUACAUGUACUCUACGUGAAUAUGUUAGUGUAGGUUCACUCGUAUACGUUACGUCGCGUCCUAACCAACAAUUUUUUUUCAUCGUUGAAUCUUUCAAUCUUUCGACCGUUGUUCGAUUAUCCAGGAUACGAUUAACGAUCAUCUCCUGUGUAUUUAAUGGAGAACAUGCCUGAAAACCGUAGUGAUGGUGACUCGCCAACUUGCCUGUUUGCCUGCCUGCACAUCGAUGUUAGCUGCUGAGAAUUGUUGCGACAAGUCGAGACAUGGGAAUUGUUGAAGCACAGGAGAACAUGGUCGUAUGCAGUUAUCAUUGAAGGUGGUGGACACUUGGAUUCUUCGUCAACUUCUUCUCGUCUCCAAUGGUAGAAGAAGGCGGUCUGACGUAAAAGAACGUUUCGCAAGCAACCGAG
Vespula vulgaris is the source of this 449-nucleotide long non-coding RNA. RefSeq lists it as uncharacterized. The record is from RefSeq and is a predicted model, not a curated record. The transcript is spliced from 3 exons. NCBI's taxonomy places the organism in Eukaryota, Metazoa, Arthropoda, Insecta, Hymenoptera, Vespidae.